UAGGGAAUCUUCGGCAAUGGGGGGAACCCUGACCGAGCAACGCCGCGUGAGUGAAGAAGGUUUUCGGAUCGUAAAGCUCUGUUGUUAAGGAAGAACGAGUGUGAGAAUGGAAAGUUCAUACUGUGACGGUACUUAACCAGAAAGGGACGGCUAACUACGUGCCAGCAGCCGCGGUAAUACGUAGGUCCCGAGCGUUGUCCGGAUUUAUUGGGCGUAAAGCGAGCGCAGGCGGUCAAUUAAGUCUGAUGUGAAAGCCCCCGGCUCAACCGGGGAGGGUCAUUGGAAACUGGGUGACUUGAGUGGAGAAGAGGAGAGUGGAAUUCAAUGUGUAGGGGUGAAAUGCGUAGAUAUAUGGAGGAACACCAGUGGCGAAGGCGACUCUCUGGUCUGUAACUGACGCUGAGGCUCGAAAGCGUGGGUAGCAAACAGG
RNAcentral lists this ribosomal RNA (430 nucleotides) under Bacteroidota bacterium. Its description in RNAcentral is "Bacteroidetes bacterium partial 16S ribosomal RNA". It matches the Rfam family "Bacterial small subunit ribosomal RNA", at positions 355 to 776 of the family's 1533-position model. The record is from RNAcentral. Lineage: Bacteria; Pseudomonadati; Bacteroidota.